Molecule: ribosomal RNA, 998 nt
Filed under: Escherichia coli
Lineage: Bacteria; Pseudomonadati; Pseudomonadota; Gammaproteobacteria; Enterobacterales; Enterobacteriaceae
Description: partial 23S ribosomal RNA
Rfam family: Bacterial large subunit ribosomal RNA
Source: RNAcentral
UAAACGGCGGCCGUAACUAUAACGGUCCUAAGGUAGCGAAAUUCCUUGUCGGGUAAGUUCCGACCUGCACGAAUGGCGUAAUGAUGGCUAGGCUGUCUCCACCCGAGACUCAGUGAAAUUGAACUCGCUGUGAAGAUGCAGUGUACCCGCGGCAAGACGGAAAGACCCCGUGAACCUUUACUAUAGCUUGACACUGAACAUUGAGCCUUGAUGUGUAGGAUAGGUGGGAGGCUUUGAAGUGUGGACGCCAGUCUGCAUGGAGCCGACCUUGAAAUACCACCCUUUAAUGUUUGAUGUUCUAACGUUGACCCGUAAUCCGGGUUGCGGACAGUGUCUGGUGGGUAGUUUGACUGGGGCGGUCUCCUCCUAAAGAGUAACGGAGGAGCACGAAGGUUGGCUAAUCCUGGUCGGACAUCAGGAGGUUAGUGCAAUGGCAUAAGCCAGCUUGACUGCGAGCGUGACGGCGCGAGCAGGUGCGAAAGCAGGUCAUAGUGAUCCGGUGGUUCUGAAUGGAAGGGCCAUCGCUCAACGGAUAAAAGGUACUCCGGGGAUAACAGGCUGAUACCGCCCAAGAGUUCAUAUCGACGGCGGUGUUUGGCACCUCGAUGUCGGCUCAUCACAUCCUGGGGCUGAAGUAGGUCCCAAGGGUAUGGCUGUUCGCCAUUUAAAGUGGUACGCGAGCUGGGUUUAGAACGUCGUGAGACAGUUCGGUCCCUAUCUGCCGUGGGCGCUGGAGAACUGAGGGGGGCUGCUCCUAGUACGAGAGGACCGGAGUGGACGCAUCACUGGUGUUCGGGUUGUCAUGCCAAUGGCACUGCCCGGUAGCUAAAUGCGGAAGAGAUAAGUGCUGAAAGCAUCUAAGCACGAAACUUGCCCCGAGAUGAGUUCUCCCUGACUCCUUGAGAGUCCUGAAGGAACGUUGAAGACGACGACGUUGAUAGGCCGGGUGUGUAAGCGCAGCGAUGCGUUGAGCUAACCGGUACUAAUGAACCGUGAGG